This 1312-nucleotide long non-coding RNA is filed under the name Oryctolagus cuniculus (rabbit). RNAcentral describes it as "lncRNA (ENSOCUG00000032334.1)". The record is from RNAcentral. Lineage: Eukaryota; Metazoa; Chordata; Mammalia; Lagomorpha; Leporidae.
GAUCCUAGUUAAGAGGAAUUUGUGACAGAUCACCAGGUUUCCACCUGAUUUCUUAUCAAAGCGGCCUUGGACCACUCAGAAUCCUGUUUAGCUAUUUUCCCCAGCUUCCCCUUUUCCACUUUAAAAGGCCCUGUAGUUAACUUGCAAGGGGAGAAGAGUGUAUUUGCAGCCAUGGAGUUGCCUUCCUCCUGGUGGCUACUCCAAUAACUUACUGUUAUUCUUUAUCUGUGAUCUUUGGGUAAAACUUUUCCUCCCUGGUUGAUUGAAAAUGUUUAGUGAUGUGAGAUAUCCUUGACUGUCAGGCAGAUAAUUAGACAUUAGUGAUGGGGGAGGGGCCACAAGACCCUCUUCCAGGGGUGAAAUCAAGGACCUUGACCUCCACCCAAGACCCACUCAAGACUGCCCAAUUUGCAGUUUAACCUGUGGUUAAAGUAUCCUGAUAAAACAGGAGCUAAGCCAAUCCAGAAAAGCUUAGUUUGUAGUUACAUGCACAAAGAGCCCAAAGGCAUGCGACUCCCAGCUGUCAACUACAAAUGCCAACCAUGAGCAUCAUGGCCACAUCACUAGUCAAUCCACUCAUUCUUCAGGAAUAAAAGUCCCAAAUCAGGACGAAAGGUUGCCAUGUGCUCUCUUGACUGCCCCAUUGCUUUACUACCUUUUGCUUUACUACCUUUUGCUUUACUAACUUUUGUCUCUCUGAAUUACAAUUCGUUACUCCAUCAAUGAAAAGAAAGCAAGACAAGCCAGCCACCAUCAGUAACAUCUUUGGAGCAUGACUCAGAUCACUGUAUUGAAAGCAGGCAAGCCGAUUACUGCUCCCUUGGAAUAAAGGCAAGGAAAAGAACCAAAUCAUCACCAGAUAUCUUUAAAAAGACCAGAAAAGGAGAACAGCUGAUAUUAUCAUAUAUUCAGUUACUUCCAGAAAUGUGGAUUUUUACUCAAUUAAAAUUGAAACUGGGGCUGGCGCUAGAGUGCAGCAGGUUAACAUCCUGGCCUAAAGUGCCGACAUCCCAUAUGGGCACCGGUUCAAGUCCUGGAUGCUCCACUUCCAAUCCAGCUCUCUGCUAUGGCCCUGGAAAGCAGUAGAAGAUAGCCCAAGUCCUUGGGCCCCUGCCACGUGGGAGACCCGGAAGAAGCUCCUGGCUCCUGGCUUCAGAUUGGCGCAGUUCCGGCCAUUGUGGCUAAUUGGGGAGUGAACCAUCGGAUGGAAGACCUCUCUCUCUCUCGCUCUCUCUCUAGCUCUCUCUGCCUCUCUUCUCUCUAUGUAACUCUUUCAAAUAAAUAAAUAUAUCUUUAAAAAUAUUGAAGCUAC